AUUUAAACCCAUUUAAGGUAGUACCCCCCAGGAAAACCUAUAUAGUUUGGCGGCAUUUAAUCAUUAUAGAGGAACCUGUCUUUUAAUCGAUACUCCCCGAUAAAUUUUACUUCUAAUCAAAUUUUAUAUACCUCCGUCUUAAGAAUUAAUAUACAUGUAUUAUUCUAAAAAGAAACCCUAAUAAGUUAGGUAAAGGUGUAAACUAUUUAGAAGAUAAGAUGGGUUACACUAAAAUCUAUUUAAGGAAACCUUCCUAAAGCAAAGUAAUAAAAAGGAUUUAUUAGUAAACCCUGAAUAAUAUUCAAGACUGAACCUGAUAAAAAAUGUGC
Molecule: ribosomal RNA, 329 nt
Filed under: Gnolus sp. GH1023
Lineage: Eukaryota; Metazoa; Arthropoda; Arachnida; Araneae; Araneidae
Description: partial 12S ribosomal RNA
Source: RNAcentral